GAUGAACGCUGGCGGCGUGCCUAAUACAUGCGAGUCGAGCGAACAGACGAGGAGCUUGCUCCUCUGACGUUAGCGGCGGACGGGUGAGUAACACGUGGAUAACCUACCUAUAAGACUGGGAUAACUUCGGGAAACCGGAGCUAAUACCGGAUAAUAUAUUGACCCGCAUGGUUCAAUAGUGAAAGACGGUUUUGCUGUCACUUAUAGAUGGAUCCGCGCCGCAUUAGCUAGUUGGUAAGGUAACGGCUUACCAAGGCAACGAUGCGUAGCCGACCUGAGAGGGUGAUCGGCCACACUGGAACUGAGACACGGUCCAGACUCCUACGGGAGGCAGCAGUAGGGAAUCUUCCGCAAUGGGCGAAAGCUUGACGGAGCAACGCCGCGUGAGUGAUGAAGGUCUUCGGAUCGUAAAACUCUGUUAUUAGGGAAGAACAAAUGUGUAAGUAACUAUGCACGUCUUGACGGUACCUAAUCAGAAAGCCACGGCUAACUACGU
RNAcentral lists this ribosomal RNA (496 nucleotides) under uncultured bacterium. RNAcentral's name for it is "partial 16S ribosomal RNA". It matches the Rfam family "Bacterial small subunit ribosomal RNA", at positions 28 to 506 of the family's 1533-position model. The record is from RNAcentral.